GAGGGGGAGAGGGAGAGAGGAGGGUGAGGGGAGAAAGGGGGGGAGUGAGAGGGUCCAAAGAUUGGUAAAAAGCCACAAUUCUGGCAAGUGACCUUGCUUCCUUGAAGCCUCUUCCCUGCAGCAAACAAACCUUCCCCUCCCCAACCCUAUUGGAAUGGGCUGCAUUUUGCUGGCACCAGCCUCUUGUUGGACCUCCGGGCAAAGUCCCCUCCAGAUGCCAGCACCAAUCCCAUGCCCUGCAUUAGGCCAGAAAGGACAUGAACAGAGCUUGUCGUGGUAGUAACCCCUCAUC
Molecule: long non-coding RNA, 292 nt
Organism: Amblyraja radiata (thorny skate)
Lineage: Eukaryota; Metazoa; Chordata; Chondrichthyes; Rajiformes; Rajidae
Exons: 2
Source: RefSeq, a predicted model, not a curated record